AGUCCGAAAGGAUUGCUAAUACCCCAUGUGGUCGUUUUGAUUAGAUGCUUAAUGACUAAACGGAUUUAUUCGCUUCGGGAGGGGCCUGCGUCCCAUCAGCUAGUUGGUAGGGUAAUAGCCUACCAAGGCGAUGACGGGUAGGGGACCUGAGAGGGUGGCCCCCCACAAUGGAACUGAAACACGGUCCAUACACCUACGGGUGGCAGCAGUAGGGAAUAUUGGUAAUCUGGGAAACCGGGAACCAGCAACGCCGCGUGCGCGAUGAAGGCCUUCGGGUUGUAAAGCGCUUUUUGAGGGGAUGAGGAAGGACAGUACCUUCAGAAUAAGCCUCGGCUAACUACGUGCCAGCAGCCGCGGUAAAACGUAGGAGGCGAGCGUUAUCCGGAUUUACUGGGCGUAAAGCGUGUGUAGGCGGUUUGAUAAGUUGGAUGUGAAAGCUCCUGGCUCAACUGGGAGAGGUCGUUCAAAACUAUCAGACUAGAGAGUGGUAGAGGGAGGUGGAAUUCCGCGUGUAGUGGUGAAAUGCGUAGAUAUGCGGAGGAACACCAGUGGCGAAAGCGGCCUCCUGGCCCAUUUCUGACGCUCAGACACGAAAGCUAAGGUAGCAAACGGGAUUAGAGACCCCGGUAGUCUUAGCUGUAAACGAUGUGAACUUAGUGUCGGUGGGGUUAAAUCCAUCGGUACUGAAGCAAACGCGAUAAGUUCACCGCCUGACGACUACGGCCGCAAGGUUAAACUCAAGGAAUUGACGGGGCCCCGCACAGCAGCGGAGCGUGUGGUUUAAUUCGAUGCUACACGAG
This 800-nucleotide ribosomal RNA is filed under the name uncultured bacterium. RNAcentral's name for it is "bacterial SSU rRNA". It matches the Rfam family "Bacterial small subunit ribosomal RNA", at positions 148 to 965 of the family's 1533-position model. The record is from RNAcentral.